AUGCUUCAGCAGCAUAUAUGCUAAAUUUGAAAUGAUACAGAAAAGAUUAGCAUGACCCCUUGUGCAAGGAUGACACAAAAAUAACUCAUUGAACAUCUUC
This 100-nucleotide small nuclear RNA is filed under the name Suricata suricatta (meerkat). The record is from RNAcentral. Lineage: Eukaryota; Metazoa; Chordata; Mammalia; Carnivora; Herpestidae.